UGCUAAGACUGGAUAGGAAAAGUAAAGGCAUCUUUACUUUUUUAAAAGACCUUCUUUGGAGGUAUGCUUAAGGAGGGGCUUGCGACACAUUAGUUAGUUGGCAGGGUAAAGGCCUACCAAGACUAUGAUGUGUAGCUGGACUGAGAGGUUGAACAGCCACAUUGGGACUGAGACACGGCCCAAACUCCUACGGGAGGCAGCAGUAGGGAAUUUUCGGCAAUGGAGGAAACUCUGACCGAGCAACGCCGCGUGAACGAUGAAGUACCUCGGUAUGUAAAGUUCUUUUAUUAAGGAAGAAAAAAGAGUGGAAAAACUCCCUUGACGGUACUUAAUGAAUAAGCCCCGGCUAAUUAUGUGCCAGCAGCCGCGGUAAUACAUAAGGGGCGAGCGUUAUCCGGAAUUAUUGGGCGUAAAGGGUGCGUAGGCGGUUUAAUAAGUCUAUAGUUUAAUUUCAGUGCUUAACGCUGUUGUGCUAUAGAAACUGUUUUACUAGAGUGAGAUAGAGGCAAGCGGAAUUCCAUGUGUAGCGGUAAAAUGCGUAAAUAUAUGGAGGAACACCAGAGGCGUAGGCGGCUUGCUGGGUCUUUACUGACGCUGAGGCACGAAAGCGUGGGGAGCAAACAGGAUUAGAUACCCUGGUAGUCCACGCCGUAAACGAUGAGUACUAAGUGUCGGGUAAAACCGGUACUGAAGUUAACACAUUAAGUACUCCGCCUGAGUAGUACGUACGCAAGUAUGAAACUUAAAGGAAUUGACGGGACUCCGCACAAGCGGUGGAUCAUGUUGUUUAAUUCGAAGAUACACGAAAAACCUUACCAGGUCUUGACAUUUUCUUGCGAAGUUAUAGAAAUAUAAUGGAGGUUAUCAGGAAAACAGGUGGUGCAUGGUUGUCGUCAGCUCGUGUCGUGAGAUGUUAGGUUAAGUCCUAAAACGAGCGCAACCCUUGUCGUUAAUUGCCAGCAUGUAAUGAUGGGGACUUUAACGAGACUGCCAAUGAAAAAUUGGAGGAAGGUGGGGAUUACGUCAAAUCAUCAUGCCCCUUAUGAUCUGGGCUACAAACGUGAUACAAUGGUUGAUACAAAGAGUAGCUGAAACGCGAGUUCUUAGCCAAUCUCACAAAAUCAAUCUCAGUUCGGAUUGAAGUCUGCAACUCGACUUCAUGAAGUUGGAAUCGCUAGUAAUCGCGAAUCAGCAUGUCGCGGUGAAUACGUUCUCGGGGUUUGUACACACCGCC
RNAcentral lists this ribosomal RNA (1234 nucleotides) under Clover yellow edge phytoplasma. RNAcentral describes it as "bacterial SSU rRNA". It matches the Rfam family "Bacterial small subunit ribosomal RNA", at positions 161 to 1394 of the family's 1533-position model. Lineage: Bacteria; Bacillati; Mycoplasmatota; Mollicutes; Acholeplasmatales; Acholeplasmataceae. The record is from RNAcentral.